ACUAUUUACAUAAAUACACUGGCGGACAUACAUUUUUUAGGAAUACUCAGCUGAAACUGUGACAAGAGUUUUAGCCGUAGUUUAAAUAAAAACUAUUUAUACCGACGUUACCUUUCGUACAAAAAAUGAAAUAUGUAAAUGUUAACACUGUACUGCUUUGAAACGAUGCCUUAAAACGAACUCCUAUAGUUCUUCUUAUAAAACUACAAUUCGUUACGAAAUGUUUUAAAUUUUCGCGGCUAUCUUUAUUUACACCUACGAUCUACAUUUUAAGCACUAUUUACGGGUUCGUACCUUUAUUUUUACCCAUGUCAUGGGAUCUUGGCGCUUGCUACAGCGACAUAAUUAAUGCGGGUAACGGAUUAAAUGCAAAAUUCUUUUGUUAGAUUCAAUUAAAUGUGUUCAUAAUAUGGGUAGGAGCGAAAUUUAAAAAAAAGCAAUCGUUACUAAAUCAUAUUUUGUAGAUAUCAUCAAAGGAAAUCUUCCACCGAGCGGGUGAUAUUCCUUGGUAGACCGAAGGUCCGAAUGUUGUUGUUGGAAUUUUGUAUAUAUGCAAGCCUAUCUUGAAAAGGUCGUGAGCGAAAUUCAGCAACUGUCAAAUAUCUUUGUUAAAUGAUGGCUACCCGCCAUCCACAUAACCGACGUGAUUUGAACACGCAACCUUCUGAAGCCACAAUUUGGAGAAAAAAUCGUUUUAGUUCAGUGAUAAAUAUCAAAUUAGAAACAGAAUACCAAAGAGCUUGUGAAUUUUAAAAAAAAAGCAAAGAAUUCCGUUAAAAUUGGCAAUCACAUUUUGGCACAUUGUAGUUCUCAUUUUAUAAACAGACAAGGUUAGCUUAAAAUAGAAUAUUUGAAACUAGAUUUUCUUUAUAUAACGUAUUUUCUGUCUUAUUUAGACAAUAUUAAUAAUCGUUGUCGUCGUGGCCUAAAAGAUAAGACGCUUGAUGUCUUCGUGUCGAGCGAUGCGACCGUGCCGGUGUUCAAACCCCACAGGCAGGAAACUUUUUUAAACAACUCGAAAAAAGGAGAAGGUUCUCAUGCGACAACUUUUUUUUCUAGAGUAUAUACAAAGGUUGGAACAAUCUCAAUAACAACCACAAUUGAUUUUCGUCUUCUUCUUCUUUCUAUCCAAUUACCCGCUGCUGGGGUGUAGGACUCGAAUCAAAUUCUCCCAUUUGCAUUGGUGAAAAAAAAGAACAAUUGCUUAACCUUUGUUCUAUUUUUAUUCAUAAAAGUUACCAGAGUCAAUUAAAAAUGCAAAACAGUCUGACAUAGUCUUAUUGGUCAACAUGAAAACAAAACUUGAUGCUAAAAUAAAUUAAGAAGUGUUUAUUGUAGCUUUAUCCAAUGCAAUGUUUAUGGAAUUAUCAAUCAAAAGAGUGAAGUUAUAUUUGAAACAAAAUGCAUCUCUGAUUUUCAAAAAGGAUGUCAUUUCUACACUAAAAUAGCAUAUUUCAGUGUUUCAGUUUUCUUUCAGUCAGCAUGGUAAUACCCACCAGCUUAGGCACACGAUAUUUCCUACAAUGACUGAGUAAAUAUCUUAAUAAAAAAGAAAUUAUAGAACCUUCACUGAACUGAUAUAAUUGAGAAGACAUUAGGUGUAACAAAUUUUAUGAAACUAAGUGCCUUUCACUAAGAUAACAUGAAUCAUACAUACUUCUAAUAUAUAGAAAUAAAGUUUUUUUUUUAAUUA
This is a long non-coding RNA of Bombyx mori (domestic silkworm), 1693 nucleotides long. RefSeq lists it as uncharacterized. The record is from RefSeq and is a predicted model, not a curated record. The transcript is spliced from 2 exons. Lineage: Eukaryota; Metazoa; Arthropoda; Insecta; Lepidoptera; Bombycidae.